GGCCACCACCUCAUCCGCCCCGUCCUCGGCGGGCGCCUCCUCCACCUCGACAGGCUCGGCGGCCUCGGCGGCGGAGGCGGCGAGCGCGAGGCGCGCGGCGCGGCGGGAGGAGGAGGAGGAGGGGAAGCGGAGGUGGAGGAGGGGGAGCGGGUGGAACUUGGAGGUGGAGGGGAGGGAGAGGUGGGAGAAGGCGGUGGUGAGGGAGAGCGCCAUGGGAGGGAG
This 222-nucleotide unclassified non-coding RNA is filed under the name Hevea brasiliensis (rubber tree). Lineage: Eukaryota; Viridiplantae; Streptophyta; Magnoliopsida; Malpighiales; Euphorbiaceae. The record is from RNAcentral.